AUUGCUUCUCAGCCUUUUGGCUAAGAUCAAGUGUAGUACCCAAACCUGUAUUCUAAAUAUUUUUCUGCAUGUGUGUUGCAUUUAAUGAUUUUUUAGCAGUUAAAGUUAAUAGACAUGUUUCUCUAAGCAUAACUUUUAGGUGCAGUGAAGUUAGUAUCUGAAAGGUAUGGAUGU
RNAcentral lists this small nuclear RNA (174 nucleotides) under Zalophus californianus (California sea lion). Its description in RNAcentral is "U2 spliceosomal RNA (ENSZCAG00015004478.1)". The stretch from base 1 to 137 matches the Rfam family "U2 spliceosomal RNA". Rfam says of the family: U2 is a small nuclear RNA (snRNA) component of the spliceosome (involved in pre-mRNA splicing). Lineage: Eukaryota; Metazoa; Chordata; Mammalia; Carnivora; Otariidae. The record is from RNAcentral.